AUGAAUUUGAAUUUGGGAUAUGUUUGUGAUGAUUUACAAAAAAACCCACAAGUAUUGAUAAAGCUGUAAAUUUUAGGGUGGUCAUAUGAGUCCUCUGUGCUUCCAUUUCUCUGUCUGUAAAAGGGAAAGAAACAAUAGUAACGAACUUAUUGAGCAUUAAAUGAGAUGCUCCCUAUAAAACCUGGCAGGAUACUUGGUAGCCGUUUAUUGUCAUUUACAUUAAGUAUUAGCAUUGCUCUUACUAUUCUAUGUAAUCUUCCAGAAACUAUGAAGAGCUCUGAUUUAAAUACGAAGACAUUGGGUUACCAGCUUCUCCAUCUAUACAAUGGACCAUUAGAUCAGAUGUGGGAAGCAUGACUCACCCUGGACUGACUCACAGCAAGUAUGACUCCAUGAAACACUCGCAGAGUUGGGGACUCGAGGGGCUCAGCCUCCACGAUACUGGCCAUCAAGAAAACACUGGCCUUCUGGGCAGCAAGAUGGUUCACUUCUAUAUUUGGGGAUCUCUUAUGGAAAUUUACUGACUGCCCUUGGGUCUAUGAUCCCUGUUUCUAAAACCAGACACCUGAAUCAAAGCACUAAACCAG
This 587-nucleotide long non-coding RNA is filed under the name Vulpes vulpes (red fox). Its description in RNAcentral is "lncRNA (ENSVVUG00000029282.1)". Lineage: Eukaryota; Metazoa; Chordata; Mammalia; Carnivora; Canidae. The record is from RNAcentral.